GGGGGAUGGGGCUCUGCAGGAGCCUGAUGCUCCUCGGACCCUGAAGGCACUACGACUAGAAGGCCCGGCUCAGGGGCAGGUUGGCUGUCACUGAGCCGAGAGGCACCAGGUGGCAGGAGGCACCAGAUGGCAGGCUGUGAGGCUGCCUCAGCUGAAGUCGCGGUUGCGCAGGAGGAGUGGGGCUACCAGGGUCCACAGGUAGAGGAGCAGCCCUGCCCAG
RNAcentral lists this long non-coding RNA (220 nucleotides) under Homo sapiens (human). Its description in RNAcentral is "HSALNT0004230". The record is from RNAcentral. Lineage: Eukaryota; Metazoa; Chordata; Mammalia; Primates; Hominidae.